GAUGAAGAACGUAGCGAAAUGCGAUAAGUAGUGUGAAUUGCAGAAUUCAGUGAAUCAUCGAAUCUUUGAACGCACAUUGCGCCCUUUGGUAUUCCAAAGGGCAUGCCUGUUCGAGCGUCAUUUGUACCCUCAAGCUUUGCUUGGUGUUGGGCGUCUUGUCUCUAGCUUUGCUGGAGACUCGCCUUAAAGUAAUUGGCAACCGGCCUACUGGUUUCGGAGCGCAGCACAAGUCGCACUCUCUAUCAGCAAAGGUCUAGCAUCCAUUAAGCCUUUUUUUCAACUUUUGACCUCGGAUCAGGUAGGGAUACCCGCUGAACUUAAGCAUAUCAAUAAGCGGAGGA
Molecule: unclassified non-coding RNA, 341 nt
Filed under: soil metagenome
Description: partial contains 5.8S ribosomal RNA, internal transcribed spacer 2, and large subunit ribosomal RNA
Rfam family: 5.8S ribosomal RNA (bases 1-120)
Source: RNAcentral